AUACGGAGGGUGCAAGCGUUGUUCGGAAUUAUUGGGCGUAAAGAGCAUGUAGGCGGACUGUUAAGUCUGGUGUGAAAGCCCGGGGCUCAACCCCGGAAGUGCAUUGGAUACUGGCAGUCUUGAGUAUGGGAGAGGAAAGUGGAAUUCCGAGUGUAGGAGUGAAUCCGUAGAUAUUCGGAGGAACACCAGUGGCGAAGGCGGCUUUCUGGACCAAUACUGACGCUGAGAUGCGAAAGCGUGGGGAGCGAACAGGAUUAGAUACCCUUGUAGUCC
RNAcentral lists this ribosomal RNA (273 nucleotides) under uncultured bacterium. Its description in RNAcentral is "partial 16S ribosomal RNA". It matches the Rfam family "Bacterial small subunit ribosomal RNA", at positions 523 to 796 of the family's 1533-position model. The record is from RNAcentral.